ACGUACACUCCUGCGGAGGCAGCAGUGGGGAAUAUUGGACAAUGGGCGCAAGCCUGAUCCAGCCAUGCCGCGUGAGUGAUGAAGGCCCUAGGGUUGUAAAGCUCUUUCACCGGUGAAGAUAAUGACGGUAACCGGAGAAGAAGCCCCGGCUAACUUCGUGCCAGCAGCCGCGGUAAUACGAAGGGGGCUAGCGUUGUUCGGAUUUACUGGGCGUAAAGCGCACGUAGGCGGACUAUUAAGUCAGGGGUGAAAUCCCGGGGCUCAACCCCGGAACUGCCUUUGAUACUGGUAGUCUUGAGUUCGAGAGAGGUGAGUGGAAUUCCGAGUGUAGAGGUGAAAUUCGUAGAUAUUCGGAGGAACACCAGUGGCGAAGGCGGCUCACUGGCUCGAUACUGACGCUGAGGUGCGAAAGCGUGGGGAGCAAACAGGAUUAGAAACCCCUGUAGUCCC
RNAcentral lists this ribosomal RNA (450 nucleotides) under uncultured organism. RNAcentral describes it as "partial 16S ribosomal RNA". It matches the Rfam family "Bacterial small subunit ribosomal RNA", at positions 329 to 797 of the family's 1533-position model. The record is from RNAcentral.